GGGUCAGUAGGCUGGUCGUGCCACCGGUACGUACUGGUCUCACUGAUUCCUCCUUCCUGAAUAACCGUAAUGCCAUUAAUUUGGUGUUGCGGGGAAACAUGACUGUUACUUUGAAAAAAUUAGAGUGUUUAAAGCAAGCUACGCUUGAAUACAUUAGCAUGGAAUAAUGAAAUAGGACGAUCGAUCCUAUUUUGUUGGUUUCUAGGAUUGACGUA
Molecule: ribosomal RNA, 215 nt
Filed under: Glomeromycotina sp.
Lineage: Eukaryota; Fungi; Glomeromycota
Description: partial small subunit ribosomal RNA
Rfam family: Eukaryotic small subunit ribosomal RNA (bases 40-215)
Source: RNAcentral